AGGCACCCGCACAGGUGCUGCAUGGCUGUCGUCAGCUCGUGUCGUGAGAUGUUGGGUUAAGUCCCGCAACGAGCGCAACCCUUAUCCCCAGUUGCCAUCAGGUAAAGCUGGGAACUCUGGGGAGACUGCCGGUGAUAAACCGGAGGAAGGCGGGGAUGACGUCAAGUCCUCAUGGCCCUUACAUCCCGGGCUACACACGUGCUACAAUGGCAGGUACAGAGGGCUGCGAAGCCGCGAGGUGGAGCGAAUCCCAGAAAACCUGUCUCAGUCCGGAUUGAAGUCUGCAACUCGACUUCAUGAAGGCGGAAUCGCUAGUAACCGCGAAUCAGCAGGUCGCGGUGAAUACGUUCCCGGGCCUU
RNAcentral lists this ribosomal RNA (359 nucleotides) under uncultured Latescibacterota bacterium. Its description in RNAcentral is "bacterial SSU rRNA". It matches the Rfam family "Bacterial small subunit ribosomal RNA", at positions 1024 to 1382 of the family's 1533-position model. Lineage: Bacteria; Pseudomonadati; Candidatus Latescibacterota. The record is from RNAcentral.